This 349-nucleotide ribosomal RNA is filed under the name uncultured bacterium. Its description in RNAcentral is "bacterial SSU rRNA". It matches the Rfam family "Bacterial small subunit ribosomal RNA", at positions 217 to 580 of the family's 1533-position model. The record is from RNAcentral.
GGUACGGGACGGGCACGCGCGACAUUAGGUAGUUGGCGGGGUAACGGCCCACCAAGCCGACGAUGUCUAGGGGUUCUGAGAGGAAGGUCCCCCACACUGGAACUGAGACACGGUCCAGACUCCUACGGGAGGCAGCAGUGAGGAAUAUUGGUCAAUGGGCGAGAGCCUGAACCAGCCAAGUCGCGUGAGGGAAGAAGGUUUUCGGAUUGUAAACCUCUGUCCUAAGGGACGAAGGAAGUGACGGUACCUUAGGAGGAAGCCCCGGCUAACUACGUGCCAGCAGCCGCGGUAAUACGUAGGGGGCGAGCGUUGUCCGGAAUGACUGGGCGUAAAGGGCGUGUAGGCGGCA